RNAcentral lists this ribosomal RNA (2738 nucleotides) under Gerris buenoi. Its description in RNAcentral is "eukaryotic LSU rRNA". It matches the Rfam family "Eukaryotic large subunit ribosomal RNA", at positions 1 to 2332 of the family's 3401-position model. Lineage: Eukaryota; Metazoa; Arthropoda; Insecta; Hemiptera; Gerridae. The record is from RNAcentral.
AUUAAUGUUUUGGUUUUUGAUGAUGAAUGAUUAAAAUAUAUUGUGUAAUAUUGGAUAGAANAAAAUAGUUCAGCACUAAGUCACUUUGUCUUUAUGGCAAAUGUGAGAUGCAGUGUAUGGAAUGUCAAAUUUCUAGUAUGAGAAAUUAACGAUUUAAGUCCUUCUUAAAUGAGGCCAUUUACCCAAAGAGGGUGCCAGGCCCGUAUAACGUUAAUGAUUACUAGAUGGCAUUUCCAAAGAGUCGUGUUGCUUGAUAGUGCAGCACUAAGUGGGUGGUAAACUCCAUCUAAAACUAAAUAUAACCAUGAGACCGAUAGUAAACAAGUACCGUGAGGGAAAGUUGAAAAGAACUCUGAAUAGAGAGUUAAAUAGUACGUGAAACUGCUUAGAGGUUAAGCCCGAUGAACCUGAAUAUCCAUUAUGGAAAAUUCAUCAUUAUGAUUUUAAUAUUUGUAAUAUUAUAAUAAUGGUGUGCAUUUUUUCUAUAAAGGACAUUGUAAUCUAUUAACUUUAAUAUAUUUAUCAUAAGAUCAUUAGAUUAUGUUUAUUCAAAUUAUUUUGCUUGCAAUUUAAUAUCGAAUAAAUUCUUUUGAUUUGAUAAAGUGUUGAUAGAUUUAUUAUAUACAGUGCUUAAAUAUUUAUAUUUUAUAAUAUCAUAUUAAUCAAUGAUUUUUAUGUUCAUUAUAUGCACUUGUAUGAUUAACAAUGCGAAAGAUUCAGGAUACCUUCGGGACCCGUCUUGAAACACGGACCAAGGAGUCUAACAUAUUUGCAAGUUAUUGGGAAUAAAAACCUAAUAGCGAAAUUAACAUAACUUUAAUGGGAUUAGUUUUUAGCCUAUUUAUAGUCUAUUAAUUCAAUCCCGGGGCGUUCUAUACAGUUAUGUAUAAUAAUAUUUAUAUUAUUUAUACCUCUAACUAGAGCGUACCUUGAGCAUAUAUGCUGUGACCCGAAAGAUGGUGAACUAUACUUGAUCAGGUUGAAGUCAGGGGAAAAAUUAUGUAAAAUAAUCUUAUCUGGUAAAGCGAAUGAUUAGAGGCCUUAGGGUCGAAACGAUCUUAACCUAUUCUCAAACUUUAAAUGGGUAAGAACCUCACCUUUCUUGGUAUGAAGGUUGUGGUUGUGAUAUAAUGUGCCCAGUGGGCCACUUUUGGUAAGCAGAACUGGCGCUGUGGGAUGAACCAAACGUAAUGUUACGGUGCCCAAAUUAACAACUCAUGCAGAUACCAUGAAAGGCGUUGGUUGCUUAAAACAGCAGGACGGUGGACAUGGCAGUCGNCUCUAACUAGAGCGUACCUUGAGCAUAUAUGCUGUGACCCGAAAGAUGGUGAACUAUACUUGAUCAGGUUGAAGUCAGGGGAAACCCUGAUGGAAGACCGAAACAGUUCUGACGUGCAAAUCGAUUGUCAGAAUUGAGUAUAGGGGCGAAAGACCAAUCGAACCAUCUAGUAGCUGGUUCCCUCCGAAGUUUCCCUCAGGAUAGCUGGUGCAUUUAAAAAUUAUGUAAAAUAAUCUUAUCUGUGUAACAACUCACCUGCCGAAGCAACUAGCCCUUAAAAUGGAUGGCGCUUAAGUUGUAUACCUAUACAUUACCGCUAAAGUAGAUGGUUUAUAUUCAAUCUCGGUUGGAUUUUAAACUUUGAAACUUUAGUGAGUAGGAGGGUACAAUGGUAAGCAUAGAAGUGUUUGGCGUAAGCCUGCAUGGAGCUGCCAUUGGCACAGAUCUUGGUGGUAGUAGCAAAUAAUCGAAUGAGACCUUGGAGGACUGAAGUGGAGAAGGGUUUCGUGUGAACAGUGGUUGAUCACGAGUUAGUCGGUCCUAAGUUUAAGGCGAAAGCCGAAAAUUUUCAAGUUAUAAUGAAUAAGUAAAAUAUAUACAAGUAUAUAUAAGAAAAAGUAAUAAAACACUUGAAUAAUUUUGAACGAAAGGGAAUACGGUUCCAAUUCCGUAACCUGUUGAGUAUCCGUUUGUUAUUAAAUAUGGGCCUUGUGCUCAUCCUGGCAACAGGAACGACCAUAAAGAAGCCGUCGAGAGAUAUCGGAAGAGUUUUCUUUUCUGUUUUAUAGUCGUACUACCAUGGAAGUCUUUCGAAGAGAGAUAUGGUAGAUGGACUAGAAGAGCAUGACAUUUACUGUUGUGUCGAUAUUUUCUCCUCGGACCUUGAAAAUUUAUGGUGGGGUCACGCAAACUUCUCAACAGGCCGUACCAAUAUCCGCAGCUGGUCUCCAAGGUGAAGAGUCUCUAGUCGAUAGAAUAAUGUAGGUAAGGGAAGUCGGCAAAUUAGAUCCGUAACUUCGGGAUAAGGAUUGGCUCUGAAGAUUGAGAUAGUCGGGCUUGAUUGGGAAGCAAUAACAUGGUUUAUGUACUCGUUCUGGGUAAAUAGAGGUUCUCGGAUCUUGUUCCCCGGAUAGUAGUUACGUAGCCAAUUGUGGAACUUUCUUGCUAAAAUUUUUAGGGAAUUAUCGCAAGAUAUAUUCCUUUUAAAUUAUAACGACUAUCAAUUAACAAUCAAUUCAGAACUGGCACGGACUUGGGGAAUCCGACUGUCUAAUUAAAACAAAGCAUUGUGAUGGCCCUAACGGGUGUUGACACAAUGUGAUUUCUGCCCAGUGCUCUGAAUGUCAAAGUGAAGAAAUUCAAGUAAGCGCGGGUAAACGGCGGGAGUAACUAUGACUCUCUUAAGGUAGCCAAAUGCCUCGUCAUCUAAUUAGUGACGCGCAUGAAUGGAUUAACGAGA